This 213-nucleotide long non-coding RNA is filed under the name Elaeis guineensis (African oil palm). RNAcentral's name for it is "long non-coding RNA (EGUI_LNC016407)". Lineage: Eukaryota; Viridiplantae; Streptophyta; Magnoliopsida; Arecales; Arecaceae. The record is from RNAcentral.
AUGGGAUAGUUUAUUUCCUUCGUUAAGCAGGCCAACAAUAGAACCCUACUUAUGGGAAGAAUUUCUUGUUUGCUUUUUCUACAAGGUUUCAAAUGAGGAUAGUUUCAGCUCUAGUAGGAGCAGAAUUCUUUAAAAACUAAAAUAUGUUUAUAACACGACUAAAAGAUAAGCUGCUCGAUAAAUUUAUAUCCUUGCAACAACACUAGCGGUAGU